GGCUUGUCCAGUGGUAGUAGGUCAUUAGGGCUUAUUAACAUUACGGUCACUAAAGUUGGUAUACAACCCCCCACUACUAAAUUUGACUGGCUUAC
This is an unclassified non-coding RNA of Microcebus murinus (gray mouse lemur), 95 nucleotides long. It matches the Rfam family "Y RNA". From Rfam's summary of the family: Y RNAs are components of the Ro ribonucleoprotein particle (Ro RNP), in association with Ro60 and La proteins. The Y RNAs and Ro60 and La proteins are well conserved, but the function of the Ro RNP is not known. Lineage: Eukaryota; Metazoa; Chordata; Mammalia; Primates; Cheirogaleidae. The record is from Ensembl.